AUGAGAGCCACGAUGGUAAGCUCCCCCAGCCCACUUGCCCCUCUUUCAUCUCCGUUCUACUCCUUGUAUCUCGCCCCCCUCGAGCUCGCCUCGAUCCAUGGCCUCUCCUUAAACCUAGAUCCGGUCACGGCCACGGCCGGCUUCGCAGCUCCCGGCCACCAUCGCAUGCGCCUCCCCCCGCAUCUCCCUCAUAUCGCUUGUGCAGCACCGUGGCUAUAUGUCGCCAGCGCCAUCAGCUGCAGCCCCGCUCUAAUCCACCUGCAUGUCAUGGACAACAGCCAUGGAGGAUGCACCUCCGGCUACUCACUCGUUGUUGGCCUACCAGUAUCUCCACCAACAUCUCAUCCAUCUAGAUCAGGGGCGCUUUAA
This 369-nucleotide ribosomal RNA is filed under the name Triticum aestivum (bread wheat). RNAcentral's name for it is "partial small subunit ribosomal RNA". Lineage: Eukaryota; Viridiplantae; Streptophyta; Magnoliopsida; Poales; Poaceae. The record is from RNAcentral.